GGACUACUCGGGUAUCUAAUCCUGUUUGCUCCCCACGCUUUCGCGUCUCAGCGUCAGUACCGUCCCAGAGAGCUGCCUUCGCCAUAGGUGUUCUUCCCGAUAUCUGCGCAUUUCACCGCUACACCGGGAAUUCCACUCUCCUCUUCCGGACUCUAGCCAUACGGUUUCAACCGACGUCUCGAGGUUGAGCCUCGAGUUUUCACAGCUGACCUGCAUGGCCGCCUACACGCUCUUUACGCCCAAUAAAUCCGGACAACGCUUGCCCCCUACGUAUUACCGCGGCUGCUGGCAC
This 292-nucleotide ribosomal RNA is filed under the name uncultured bacterium. Its description in RNAcentral is "partial 16S ribosomal RNA". The record is from RNAcentral.